RNAcentral lists this long non-coding RNA (1110 nucleotides) under Manihot esculenta (cassava). RNAcentral's name for it is "long non-coding RNA (MESC_LNC005703)". The record is from RNAcentral. Lineage: Eukaryota; Viridiplantae; Streptophyta; Magnoliopsida; Malpighiales; Euphorbiaceae.
GUGAAUGUAAAUAUGAAUCACUAGAUUUUGCAGGAUUAAAAGAUGCUAGUGGUUGGUGUGUGAGUAGUUCAUGCAUUGCCUGUGGGUUAAAGUUAUCGCAUAUGUCAGUGUAUGCAUGCAAAUAAGCUUCUGAGUGUGCAGAUUCAUCAUGAAUUAAGCUAAGUACCAUAUUGAACUCAAUGAGUGAAUAUGCAAAUUUUUGACCUAGUAAUCUAAAUUUAGCAACCCCAGCAAUAUCUAGUGCGCAUUCAGUCAGUGAAUCAGCAGAGAAGGUGGAAUAAAAUUCUUAAAUAAGUUCAUAGUAGAUAGGUUCAUCCCAAGUAUAAUACUUGGAAUCAUGUUUGAUCUUUUCUCAUUCAGUUCUGGUUAAAUCAUCGGGUAAGGAUCUAAAGACCAAAUAAUUAACUAUAUCUGCGUACCAUGGAACUUGCUCUAAGGUAGAGAAUAGGUAUUCAUCUGGGAAGUCAUCAUUAAGUGGUGCAGUUUCUUCAACCAAUAAUGGCAGCCGGCUAAGAUGAUCAGUGACUAAGUGCCACCACUGCGGCAGUCUCCACCUCCGCCGGUCCAUCCCCCUCAGCCACCAUCAACGGUGAGCAUAUUUCUGACGGGUUGCAUCACUCCACCUCUAUUUCUUCAGAAGAUCAUUCUCUUGCCUCUCCGGUCGCUAAUCCCGCCGUGGUAAAUGCUUCUGUUGCUGAUACACGGACACACGUUGGGAGGGGUAGGCAUCACCUACCUCCACCUCAAUCACAUAACCUUUGUUUUACAAAUGCAAAUAGACCAGUGUAGGUGAAUGUAAAUAUGAAUAACUAGAUUUUGCAGGAUUAAAAGAUGCUGGUGGUUGGUGUGUGAGUAGUUCAUGCACUGCCUGUGGGUUAAAGUCAUCGCAUAUGUCAGUGUAUGCAUGCAAAUAAGCUUCUGAGUGUGUAGAUUCAUCAUGAAUUAACCCAAGUACCAUAUUGAACUCAAUGAGUGAAUAUGCAAAUCUUUGACCUAGUAAUCUAAAUUUACAACCCUAGGAGUAUCUAGUGUGCACUUAGUCAGUGAAUCAGCAGAGAAGGUGGAAUAAAAUUCCUAAAUAAGUUUAUAGUAGAUAGGUUCAUCCCAAGU